Molecule: ribosomal RNA, 497 nt
Filed under: uncultured bacterium
Lineage: Bacteria
Description: partial 16S ribosomal RNA
Rfam family: Bacterial small subunit ribosomal RNA
Source: RNAcentral
GACGAACGCUGGCGGCGUGCCUAAUACAUGCAAGUAGAACGCUGAAGCUUGGUGCUUGCACCGAGCGGAUGAGUUGCGAACGGGUGGGUAACGCGUAGGUAACCUGCCUGGUAGCGGGGGAUAACUAUUGGAAACGAUAGCUAAUACCGCAUAAGAGUAGAUGUUGCAUGACAUUUGCUUAAAAGGUGCAAUUGCAUCACUACCAGAUGGACCUGCGUUGUAUUAGCUAGUUGGUGAGGUAACGGCUCACCAAGGCAACGAUACAUAGCCGACCUGAGAGGGUGAUCGGCCACACUGGGACUGAGACACGGCCCAGACUCCUACGGGAGGCAGCAGUAGGGAAUCUUCGGCAAUGGACGGAAGUCUGACCGAGCAACGCCGCGUGAGUGAAGAAGGUUUUCGGAUCGUAAAGCUCUGUUGUAAGAGAAGAACGAGUGUGAGAGUGGAAAGUUCACACUGUGACGGUAUCUGACCAGAAAGGGACGGCUAACUACGUG